GUGAACGCUGGCGGUAGGCCUAACACAUGCAAGUCGAACGGCAGCACAGUAAGAGCUUGCUCUUACGGGUGGCGAGUGGCGGACGGGUGAGGAAUACAUCGGAAUCUACUUUUUCGUGGGGGAUAACGUAGGGAAACUUACGCUAAUACCGCAUACUACCUACGGGUGAAAGCAGGGGAUCUUCGGACCUUGCGCGAUUGAAUGAGCCGAUGUCGGAUUAGCUAGUUGGCGGGGUAAAGGCCCACCAAGGCGACGAUCCGUAGCUGGUCUGAGAGGAUGAUCAGCCACACUGGAACUGAGACACGGUCCAGACUCCUACGGGAGGCAGCAGUGGGGAAUAUUGGACAAUGGGCGCAAGCCUGAUCCAGCCAUACCGCGUGGGUGAAGAAGGCCUUCGGGUUGUAAAGCCCUUUUGUUGGGAAAGAAAAGCAGCAGGUUAAUACCCCGCUGUUCUGACGGUACCCAAAGAAUAAGCACCGGCUAACUUCGUG
RNAcentral lists this ribosomal RNA (491 nucleotides) under uncultured bacterium. RNAcentral's name for it is "partial 16S ribosomal RNA". It matches the Rfam family "Bacterial small subunit ribosomal RNA", at positions 29 to 507 of the family's 1533-position model. The record is from RNAcentral.